Poecile atricapillus (Black-capped chickadee) is the source of this 3103-nucleotide RNA transcript. It is a transcript of the gene named sarcoplasmic/endoplasmic reticulum calcium ATPase 1-like, with no coding region annotated. Lineage: Eukaryota; Metazoa; Chordata; Aves; Passeriformes; Paridae. The record is from RefSeq and is a predicted model, not a curated record. The transcript is spliced from 19 exons.
CCAGUUGCUCCCAGUUCAUCCCAGUUCCAUCCCAGUUCCCUCCCAGUCCCUCCCAGUUCCCUCCCAGUCCCUCCCAGUUGACCCCAGUCCAUCCCAGUUCCAUCCCAGUUCCAUCCCAGUUCUCUCCCAGUUGACCCCAGUUCCAUCCCAGUCCAUCCCAGUUCACCCCAGUCCAUCCCAGUUCACCCCAGUCCAUCCCAGUCCAUCCCAGUCCCCAUUUAACUCCAUCCCAGUCCAUCCCAGUCCCUCCCAGUCCCUCCCAGUGACCCCCGCUGUGUCCCCAGUUGGGGACAAGGUCCCGGCCGACAUCCGGAUCAUCUCCAUCAAAUCCACCACGCUGCGGGUGGACCAGUCCAUCCUUACUGGGGAGUCGGUGUCGGUGAUCAAGCACACGGAGCCGGUGCCCGACCCCCGGGCGGUCAACCAGGACAAGAAGAACAUGCUCUUCUCGGGCACCAACAUCGGCGCCGGCAAAGCCGUGGGCAUCGUGGUGGCCACCGGCGUCAACACCGAGAUCGGCAAAAUCCGCGACGAGAUGGCGGCCACCGAGCAGGACAAGACCCCCCUGCAGCAGAAGCUGGACGAGUUCGGGGAGCAGCUGUCCAAGGUCAUCUCCUUGAUCUGCGUGGCCGUCUGGGCCAUCAACAUCGGCCACUUCAACGACCCCGUCCAUGGUGGUUCCUGGAUCCGAGGAGCCAUCUACUACUUCAAGAUCGCCGUGGCGCUGGCGGUGGCGGCCAUUCCUGAGGGUAUCUAAGGGGGAUUGGACGUGGUUAUGGGGUUUGGAGAAGGUUCCAGAUGGUUUGGAGAAGGUUUGAGAUGGUUUGGAGAAGGUUCGGGGGUUUUGGAGAAGGUUUGAGAUGGUUUGGAAAAGGUUGGAGGUGGUUCCAGGUGUUUAUGGGGUUUGGAGAAGGUUGGAGGUGGUUCCUGGAUCAGAGGAGCCAUCUACUACUUCAAGAUCGCCGUGGCGCUGGCGGUGGCGGCCAUUCCUGAGGGUCUCCCCGCCGUCAUCACCACCUGCCUGGCCCUGGGCACUCGGCGCAUGGCCAAGAAGAACGCGAUUGUCCGCAGCCUGCCCUCGGUGGAGACCUUGGGCUGCACCUCGGUCAUCUGCUCCGACAAGACCGGGACCUUGACCACCAACCAGAUGUCCGUCUGCAAGAUGUUCAUCAUGGACAAGGUGGAGGGCGACGUCUGCUCCCUCAACGAGUUCUCCAUCACCGGCUCCACCUACGCCCCAGAAGGAGAAGUGUUGAAGCAGGACCGGCCGGUCAAGGCUGGUCAAUACGAUGGUCUGGUGGAGCUGGCCACCAUCUGCGCCCUCUGCAACGACUCCUCGCUGGACUACAACGAGUCCAAAGGUGUCUACGAGAAGGUCGGGGAGGCCACCGAGACGGCCUUGACCUGCCUGGUGGAGAAGAUGAACGUCUUCAACACCGACGUCAGGAGCCUCUCCAAGGUGGAACGCGCCAACGCCUGCAACGCCGUGAUCAAGCAGCUGAUGAAGAAGGAGUUCACGCUGGAGUUCUCCAGGGACAGGAAGUCCAUGUCGGUCUUCUGCUCCCCGGCCAAGGCCUCCAGAGCGGCCGUGGGCAACAAGAUGUUCGUCAAGGGUGCCCCCGAGGGCGUCAUCGACCGCUGCAACUACGUCCGUGUGGGGACCACCAGGGUUCCUCUGACGCCGGCGGUGAAGGAGAAGAUCCAGAGCGUCAUCAAGGAGUGGGGGACGGGCAGGGACACCUUGCGCUGCCUGGCCUUGGCCACCAGGGACACCCCACCCAAGAAGGAGGACAUGGUCCUGGAGGACUCCUCCAAGUUCUCCGAGUAUGAGACGGACCUGACCUUCGUGGGCUGCGUGGGGAUGUUGGACCCACCACGCAAGGAGGUCAUGGGCUCCAUCCGCCUGUGCCGCGACGCCGGCAUCCGCGUCAUCAUGAUCACGGGGGACAACAAGGGCACGGCCAUCGCCAUCUGCCGCCGCAUCGGCAUCUUCGGUGAAGAUGAGGAGGUCACCGGCCGCGCCUACACCGGCCGCGAGUUCGAUGACCUCCCGUUGUCCGAGCAGCGAGAAGCUUGCAGGAGAGCCUGCUGCUUCGCCCGGGUGGAGCCCACCCACAAGUCCAAGAUCGUGGAGUUCCUGCAGUCCUUCGACGAGAUCACGGCCAUGACCGGCGACGGCGUCAACGACGCGCCGGCGCUGAAGAAGGCGGAGAUCGGCAUCGCCAUGGGCUCGGGGACCGCGGUGGCCAAGACGGCCUCGGAGAUGGUCCUGGCCGAUGACAACUUCUCCACCAUCGUGGCGGCGGUGGAGGAGGGCAGGGCCAUCUACAACAACAUGAAGCAGUUCAUCCGUUACCUCAUCUCCUCCAACGUGGGCGAGGUGGUCUGCAUUUUCCUGACGGCCGCCCUGGGCCUUCCCGAGGCUCUGAUCCCGGUGCAGCUGCUCUGGGUCAACCUGGUCACCGAUGGUCUCCCGGCCACCGCCCUGGGCUUCAACCCCCCGGACCUGGACAUCAUGGACAAGCCACCGCGCAGCCCCAAGGAGCCGCUGAUCUCAGGGUGGCUCUUCUUCCGCUACCUGGCCAUCGGUGGUUACGUCGGGGCCGCCACGGUGGGAGCGGCCGCCUGGUGGUUCCUCUUCGCCGAGGAUGGACCCAACGUCAGCUACCACCAGCUGACCCAUUUCAUGCAGUGCUCCGAGCACAACGUGGAGUUCGAGGGCCUGGACUGUGACAUCUUCGAGUCCCCGGUGCCGAUGACGAUGGCGCUGUCGGUGCUGGUGACCAUCGAGAUGUGCAACGCCCUCAACAGCCUGUCGGAGAACCAGUCGCUGGCCCGGAUGCCACCAUGGGUGAACAUCUGGCUGAUGGGCUCCAUCUGCCUGUCCAUGUCCCUGCACUUCGUCAUCCUCUACAUCGACCCCCUGCCCAUGAUCUUCAAGCUGACGCCGCUGACGCUGACCCAUUGGCUGAUGGUCAUCAAGAUCUCCUUCCCGGUCAUUCUUCUGGACGAGGCCCUCAAGUUCAUCGCCAGGAACUACCUGGAGGGUGAGGGGUGGGGCUGGACCUGCCGGGUUGUCCUCUCCUGACCCCCCUCGGGGUCA